CGUAGGUGCGAGCGUUGUCCGGAAUUAUUGGGCGUAAGGGAUUGUAGGCGGUCCGUCGCGUCGAAGUGAAACUCAGGGCUCAACCCUGAGCCUGCUUUCGAUACGGGCGGACUAGAGGUAUGCAGGGGAGAACGGAAUUCCUGGUGGAGCGGUGGAAUGCGCAGAUAUCAGGAGGAACACCGGUGGCGAAGGCGGUUCUCUGGGGCAUUACCUGACGCUGAGAAUCGAAAGCGUGGGGAGCAAACAGGCUU
This 251-nucleotide ribosomal RNA is filed under the name uncultured bacterium. Its description in RNAcentral is "partial 16S ribosomal RNA". It matches the Rfam family "Bacterial small subunit ribosomal RNA", at positions 526 to 779 of the family's 1533-position model. The record is from RNAcentral.